GAUGAACGCUGGCGGCGUGCCUAAUACAUGCAAGUCGAGCGAACAGACGAGGAUCUUGCUCCUCUUACGUUAGCGGCGGACGGGUGAGUAACACGUGGCUAACCUACCUAUAAGACUGGGAUAACUUCGGGAAACCGGAUCUAAUACCGGAUAAUAUAUUGAACCGCAUGGUUCAAUAGUGAAAGACGGUUUUGCUGUCCCUUAUAGAUGGAUCCGCGCCGCAUUAGCUAGUUGGUAAGGUAACGGCUUACCAAGGCAACGAUGCGUAGCCGACCUGAGAGGGUGAUCGGCCACACUGGAACUGAGACACGGUCCAGACUCCUACGGGAGGCAGCAGUAGGGAAUCUUCCGCAAUGGGCGAAAGCCUGACGGAGCAACGCCGCGUGAGUGAUGAAGGUCUUCGGAUCGUAAAACUCUGUUAUUAGGGAAGAACAAAUGUGUAAGUAACUAUGCACGUCUUGACGGUACCUAAUCAGAAAGCCACGGCUAACUACGUG
Molecule: ribosomal RNA, 497 nt
Filed under: uncultured bacterium
Lineage: Bacteria
Description: partial 16S ribosomal RNA
Rfam family: Bacterial small subunit ribosomal RNA
Source: RNAcentral